GACGAACGCUGGCGGCGUGCCUAACACAUGCAAGUCGAACGAGAAUCUUUGAACAGAUCUUUUCGGAGUGACGUUCAAAGAGGAAAGUGGCGGACGGGCGAGUAACGCGUGAGUAACCUGCCCAUAAGAGGGGGAUAAUCCAUGGAAACGUGGACUAAUACCGCAUAUUGUAGUUAAGUUGCAUGACUUGAUUAUGAAAGAUUUAUCGCUUAUGGAUGGACUCGCGUCAGAUUAGAUAGUUGGUGAGGUAACGACUCACCAAGUCAACGAUCUGUAGCCGAACUGAGAGGUUGAUCGGCCGCAUUGGGACUGAGACACGGCCCAGACUCCUACGGGAGGCAGCAGUGGGGAAUAUUGCGCAAUGGGGGCAACCCUGACGCAGCAACGCCGCGUGCAGGAAGAAGGUCUUCGGAUUGUAAACUGUUGUCGCAAGGGAAGAAGACAGUGACGGUACCU
RNAcentral lists this ribosomal RNA (456 nucleotides) under uncultured bacterium. Its description in RNAcentral is "bacterial SSU rRNA". It matches the Rfam family "Bacterial small subunit ribosomal RNA", at positions 28 to 480 of the family's 1533-position model. The record is from RNAcentral.